This 251-nucleotide ribosomal RNA is filed under the name uncultured bacterium. RNAcentral describes it as "partial 16S ribosomal RNA". It matches the Rfam family "Bacterial small subunit ribosomal RNA", at positions 58 to 339 of the family's 1533-position model. The record is from RNAcentral.
CAAGUCGAGCGCGUCUUCGGACGAGCGGCGAACGGGUGAGUAACACGUUGGAACCUGCCCCAGACUCAGGGAUAACAUCGAGAAAUCGGUGCUAAUACCGGAUAGUCUCGUAAGAGUAAAGCUUUUGCGGUCUGGGAGGGUCCUGCGCAGUAUCAGCUAGUUGGUAAGGUAAUGGCUUACCAAGGCUACGACGCUUAGCUGGUCUGAGAGGAUGAUCAGCCACAAUGGAACUGAGACACGGUCCAUACUCC